GAUGAACGCUGGCGGAGUGCCUAACACAUGCAAGUUGAGCGGCAGCGCGAGUAGUUUACUACUUGGCGGCGAGCGGCGGACGGCUGAGUAACGCGUGGGAACAUGCCCCAAAGUGAGGAAUAACUGCCCGAAAGGGUAGCUAAUGCCGCAUACGAUCUUCGGAUUAAAGGAUUUAUCCGCUUUGGGAGUGGCCUGCGUACGAUUAGAUAGUUGGUGAGGUAAUGGCUCACCAAGUCUACGAUCGUUAACUGGUUUGAGAGGAUGAUCAGUCAGACUGGAACUGAGACACGGUCCAGACUCCUACGGGAGGCAGCAGUGAGGAAUCUUCCACAAUGGACGAAAGUCUGAUGGAGCAACUCCGCGUGCAGGAUGAAAGGCCUUCGGGUCGUAAACUGCUUUAUGAGUGAAGAAUAUGACGGUAACUCAUG
This 428-nucleotide ribosomal RNA is filed under the name uncultured bacterium. RNAcentral describes it as "bacterial SSU rRNA". It matches the Rfam family "Bacterial small subunit ribosomal RNA", at positions 28 to 484 of the family's 1533-position model. The record is from RNAcentral.